UACAGAGACUGCGAGCGUUAUUCGGAUUCACUGGGCGUAAAGGGUGCGCAGGCGGCCGAGUGUGUGAGGCGUGAAAGCCCGGGGCUUAACCCCGGAAUUGCACCUCAAACUACACGGCUAGAGCAUUGGAGAGGGUAGCAGAAUUCACGGUGUAGCAGUGAAAUGCGUAGAUAUCGUGAGGAAUACCAGAGGCGAAGGCGGCUACCUGGACAAUUGCUGACGCUCAGGCACGAAUGCGUGGGGAGCAAAAGGG
RNAcentral lists this ribosomal RNA (253 nucleotides) under uncultured bacterium. RNAcentral's name for it is "partial 16S ribosomal RNA". It matches the Rfam family "Bacterial small subunit ribosomal RNA", at positions 524 to 776 of the family's 1533-position model. The record is from RNAcentral.